GAUGAACGCUGGCGGCGUGCUUAACACAUGCAAGUCGAACGGGAAUUACUUUAUUGAAACUUCGGUCGAUUUAAUUUAAUUCUAGUGGCGGACGGGUGAGUAACGCGUGGGUAACCUGCCUUGUACAGGGGGAUAACAGUCAGAAAUGACUGCUAAUACCGCAUAAGCGCACAGGACCGCAUGGUCCGGUGUGAAAAACUCCGGUGGUAUAAGAUGGACCCGCGUUGGAUUAGCUUGUUGGUGGGGUAACGGCCCACCAAGGCGACGAUCCAUAGCCGGCCUGAGAGGGUGAACGGCCACAUUGGGACUGAGACACGGCCCAGACUCCUACGGGAGGCAGCAGUGGGGAAUAUUGCACAAUGGGGGAAACCCUGAUGCAGCGACGCCGCGUGAAGGAAGAAGUAUCUCGGUAUGUAAACUUCUAUCAGCAGGGAAGAAAAUGACGGUACCUGACUAAGAAGCCCCGGCUAACUACGUGCCAGCAGCCGCGGUAAUACGUAGGGGGCAAGCGUUAUCCGGAUUUACUGGGUGUAAAGGGAGCGUAGACGGAUGGACAAGGCUGAUGUGAAAGGCUGGGGCUCAACCCCGGGACUGCAUUGGAAACUGCCCGUCUUGAGUGCCGGAGAGGUAAGCGGAAUUCCUAGUGUAGCGGUGAAAUGCGUAGAUAUUAGGAGGAACACCAGUGGCGAAGGCGGCUUACUGGACGGUAACUGACGUUGA
This 720-nucleotide ribosomal RNA is filed under the name uncultured Lachnospiraceae bacterium. RNAcentral describes it as "bacterial SSU rRNA". It matches the Rfam family "Bacterial small subunit ribosomal RNA", at positions 28 to 749 of the family's 1533-position model. The record is from RNAcentral. Lineage: Bacteria; Bacillati; Bacillota; Clostridia; Lachnospirales; Lachnospiraceae.